This 447-nucleotide ribosomal RNA is filed under the name uncultured bacterium. RNAcentral's name for it is "bacterial SSU rRNA". It matches the Rfam family "Bacterial small subunit ribosomal RNA", at positions 355 to 825 of the family's 1533-position model. The record is from RNAcentral.
UGGGGAAUAUUGGACAAUGGGCGCAAGCCUGAUCCAGCCAUGCCGCGUGAAGGAUGAAGUAUUUCGGUAUGUAAACUUCGAAAGAAUAGGAAGAAUAAAUGACGGUACUAUUUAUAAGGUCCGGCUAACUACGUGCCAGCAGCCGCGGUAAUACGAAGGGGGCUAGCGUUGUUCGGAAUUACUGGGCGUAAAGCGCACGUAGGCGGAUUGUUAAGUCAGAGGUGAAAUCCCGGAGCUCAACUUCGGAACUGCCUUUGAUACUGGCAAUCUAGAGUCCGGAAGAGGUUAGUGGAAUUCCCAGUGUAGAGGUGAAAUUCGUAGAUAUUGGGAAGAACACCAGUGGCGAAGGCGGCUAACUGGUCCGGUACUGACGCUGAGGUGCGAAAGCGUGGGGAGCAAACAGGAUUAGAUACCCCCGUAGUCCCUGAGCGGGCUGGCAAGGCGCAU